UCAUGCAAUCGUGUAAGUUGA
RNAcentral lists this non-coding RNA (21 nucleotides) under Caenorhabditis elegans. Lineage: Eukaryota; Metazoa; Nematoda; Chromadorea; Rhabditida; Rhabditidae. The record is from RNAcentral.